Molecule: ribosomal RNA, 810 nt
Filed under: Triticum aestivum (bread wheat)
Lineage: Eukaryota; Viridiplantae; Streptophyta; Magnoliopsida; Poales; Poaceae
Description: partial small subunit ribosomal RNA
Source: RNAcentral
AUGGGCUGCUGCUUCAGCAAGAAGCGCAUGAAGCAUCCAGACGGCUCUGCUGCCGUCCCUCGCCGCUACAAGCCGGAGGACCGCGACCCCCCGCCCCCACCGUCUCCGGAGGAGGAGAAGGUCAAGGAGGUGCUCUCGGAGACGCCGAGCACUAAGGUGGCGGCCGAGCCUAAGCCCGUCGCCAGUGUAGUGGCUGUGGAGGAGCAAGAAGUGCUGAAGGUGAAGGCUAGUGUCGACCCCGUCCCCGCGGUGAGCGAUCUCGGGAGCUGCCUGUCCAUGGCCACCGACGAGAGGUCCGAGGUGGCGUCCGAGUCGUCCGUCGCGACCAGCUCGCUGGCGGGGCCGGACCGGUCGCCGGGGAAGCCGGCCAGGAAGCGCGCUGUCUCCGGCGAGCUGGGGCUAGUCCGGCGCGACCGCGCUGUCACCGCCGCCUAUGGCGUCCGGUCCCGCAGCUGUCGGGGCUCGCCGUCCCCUCCUCCGCGGCGGGAGCCACGGGAUCGCUCCGUGCGGAGGUCGCCGUCGCCCGCGGCGAAGCGGGCGUCGCCGGAGCAGCAUCGGGCCGCGAGCCCGGUCGAGUCCCUGCAGCGAAAGCCGCCCGUCCCGAGCAGGCCGUGCAGCCGCGCCUCGCCGCGGCGGGCUCGGGAGGCCCCUCCACCGCCGCAGCCGGAAGAGGACGCCGUCACCACGGCAGGCGAGGAAAGCGUCGCGGAGCCCAGUGCCGGUGCCGACGGCCAAGGCGACGGCGACGGCGAGGGAAAGGAGUCGCUGGAGAACCCGCUGGUGUCCAUGGAGUGCUUCAUCUUCCUCUGA